This 1466-nucleotide long non-coding RNA is filed under the name Chinchilla lanigera (long-tailed chinchilla). Its description in RNAcentral is "lncRNA (ENSCLAG00000026912.1)". Lineage: Eukaryota; Metazoa; Chordata; Mammalia; Rodentia; Chinchillidae. The record is from RNAcentral.
GCCGGGGCUGACAGAGCCCAUUGUCGCUGGGCUCCGGGUGGGGGCAGCUGCGCAAACAUCGCUCUAGGCCGGACACAAAAUGACCAUUGACGCAGUGGGGCGGGGGAGGGGCGGCACUGUGACAGCCACACAGGGGGCAGCGGCUACGGGGUCCCCACCGCCACCUCUCAGCUCCGAGACCAGCCUGGGACACACAGCUGGGCGGAGGAAGGCUCAGUGGCACCCUGCAGGUUUGGUGACAAGUCGCAGUGGCAGCAGCGCUGGCCCUGAGUCUUGUGAAGUCAGAGCCACCCAGGCGGGAGCGGAGCCAGGGGCCCAGGAUGCCAUCCCUAGCCCCCCUUCCACAGGACGUUCUAAGGUUUUUUGUGUUUUUUUGUUUUUUGUUUUUUAAUUUCAGGGCUGCAGGAGGAUCAAAACUCUCACAGAAUUUGAGAUUCUCUCGAGGCUAAGACCAAAAUUUUCUCUGGGCAGCCCAUAUUUAUUGUUAUCAGAACAAGGGAGGGGAGUACUCAAGAAGGGUGGGAACCGCUCAAGGACUUCCCCAAGGGUUCUGAGCGCCUGUUGGACCCUCAGGGUUCCAUGACACCUACUUUGGGAACCAUUGUCCGGCAACUUUAUCUGAAAUCCUUUGCUGGACAUUUUACGCCUCCAUCUCCUCUCCUGUCCUGACCACUGAGUUUAGUUUGCCAUAGGUGUCUCCAUUCCUGAUUGCUCCACAAACUCUCUACAACUUCACCCCCAGGGAUUUAUUUAUUCUUUGAGACAGGGUCUCCCUGUGUAGCCCAGGCUGGCCUUGAACUUGUAACGAUCCUCCUGUCUCAGCCUCCCAAGUGCUAACAUCACAGGCGAAUGCACACUCUGCUUGCUUCUUUGGCUCUGGGGGAAUGAACCCUGCAGGCCUUUCUGAGGGGCACCUAGUAGUCAAGGUUUAGGAAACCCUACUCAGUGGAGUAUUACUCUGCCAUAAAGAAGGAACUUGAGUUAUUUGUAGGAAAGUGGAUGAACCUUGACACCAUCAUAUUAAGUGGAAUAAAUCAGGUACAAAUUUAAAUACUACAUGGUUUCUCUUAUGUGAGAAACCCAAAUUAUAAAGAACAAAAAAUAAAAGAUAAUAGAAGACAAGAGGAUAGAUCUUUCUGAGAUGGGGGAGCCAAGAGCGGGAGGGAGGGGAGAGGAGGAAGGGAGGGAGUUGAGGUGGGCUCCGCACAGGCCCCAGCUCCCCACGGCCACGUCAGCAUGUGUACCGCAGGCGCCUGCCAUGAAAAAUACAUUUUUGAAAACUGAAAGAAAUGAAACACCAUCUGCUCACUGCCUGGCCGGCUGCCCCGCCCACCCCUGCCAACAUGAGGAUGGGGUACAAGGCUCAGAGCCUCCCUGCUCCCCGAGUCCCUGCGCCUGUGCCACCCCUGGUGGGGGGGUGUCCCAGACAGAAUAACCACCUUAGAAAAGUAUGGACUAAAAACAUA